Long non-coding RNA from Salvia splendens (bonfire salvia), 1394 nucleotides. RefSeq lists it as uncharacterized. The transcript is spliced from 2 exons. The record is from RefSeq and is a predicted model, not a curated record. NCBI's taxonomy places the organism in Eukaryota, Viridiplantae, Streptophyta, Magnoliopsida, Lamiales, Lamiaceae.
UUCUUCUUCUUCCUCCUCCUCCUUUCAGUUCUAACUGUGGUGUUUCAUUUUCUCAGGUGUUCCUAUUUUCUCCCGGUUAAUAAUUCUUAAAUCCUUCCUACGCUCCUCUUUUUCAUGCGUAUCUAUUUGAUCAUACUCGUUUCUUCUAAAUUAAUUUUAUUAGGGUCGAUUUCAUUAUGCAACUGUUCGUUCUGAUUUUCAAUUUCCACCUAAUCUUCUCUUUUUUGUGUGAAUGUGUCUUUUUGUUUGAUUAUUGGUUGCAUAUAACUUUGAGGCGUGAGCUUAACUCAUAGAUAGCCUAUUGCGUAGUUCUCGAUCUUCAGUCCAGGAUUAAUUAACCGAAAAUUACAUGUAUAUGUGCAGCUGGAAAUCUCGACCCUAUGUACUUACAUUCUUCGUUUAUUCUAUUUUACAAUCAUUAUUGUUGUUGCUGCAUCUUGCACUUCAAGAUCGGAACUUGGUUAGGCUUAGGCUCCUUCUCCAUUUACUCUUUGGUUUAUGCAAUUCGUAGAGUCUAGGAUGCAUUUCUGUAGAAUUGCUAAGAGAUGACUCUUCUCACUUGAAAAGUUUUAACUUCUGUAAUUAACACUCGCCAUUUCAAGUUGACAAUAUAUUGCAUACAUCACAGAAAGAGUUGCAUUUUCCCUGUCAGCUAAAAUUUCUAAUAGAUAAGUUUGCAAUAGGUCUGUAUAUAUCAAUCUGGACUCUGCAACAGACUUGUCACCCUCAUCGAUCAUCUUCACUAUUCUGGAAGGCAAUUGGAACCUUAUUCCUCCCUCAUUUGGCUUGUUGUGAAGUCAAGUAUGUCCGGUGAGCGGACUUUCAUUGAUGGGGACGUUUCUUCUGGGUCUGGCGAGGAAGCAAACAUGUUAGAUGGCCAUAAUAAAAACCAUACUGUUCCCCAAUCAGGGAGGCACAAGAGAAACCGUAAGGCAACAGGGGAUGCUAUUGUGGAUGCUAUGCUGGAGAUCGCUGCAGCCUCAAAGAUGAGAGCUGCUGCAAUCAUGAGAGCUGAGGAACGAUUCACCAUAAGCAAAUGUAUAAGAAUAUUGGACGAGAUGCAAGGUGUUGAUCAAAAUGUAUACUUUUUUGCUUUGGAUUUAUUCGAAAAUCCUUCAGCAAGAGAAACUUUCAUAUCUCUUAAAAGCGAGAGGCGGUUAGCAUGGAUGCAGGGGAAAUUUAGAGCAUCUACAAGUUCAGCAGCCUGACUAUGAUGUGAACUAGUGUCAGCUGACUUAGUACUGCAUUAUUAGAUGGUCAUGUUUAGAUAUCUACUCUUACAAUAGCCUAGUUGGUUUAAUGUGGAUCUGCUGUACAUUUACAAGGUUAGCAUUUGUGAACAUGAUUUAGUUUUAUGAUUCAGUAGCCAUGAUUAUUAUGUUAGCACUAUUAAA